AUUUCCUACAGGAAGCUGUAGCACGAACAGAUACCCUGGCAAAGUGCUCAAGCCCUGUAAGCAAGGAAUCGUCUAGGCAUGCAGUGAAAGGCCAUGGUCACAAACUCGCAAGCCCGGGACAAGAACUUGGUAAGGAGGAGGAGAAAAGCCAUGCAGUUGAUACCCGAGCGAGCAGCUAAAUCAACAUCCUUCAGAGCCGACUCCAUUUGCUGAAAAUUCCUAUUUGUGAAAGAUUUCACCCUGUUCGGAAAAAUCUUAUCUCUGGCCAUGUCGGGGAAGUCUGGAACUGAGACAUAUUGAUCAAAAUUAGCCCGUGGGAACUUAAAAACUGGUGUGGGCGGAAGCCUGAAGUCCACCGCUUGGCCUUCAGCAGUCUGUCUAUUGCAUCUGUACAAGAAUGAUCAAGGAGAAACUCUGGGAAGAGGGGGGGAAGAUGAGGUCUCUCCGGGUAAACGACGCUUGAAUGGGGAUCCCCCCCAUCAUCAGGAGGUGAUGGGGUAGGCAGUCCCGGGACUUUUAUCAUCUCCCACUGUGGAAGAUGUAAGCGAGACUCGAACGGCAAAAGAUCGAUCACCGAAAGGAGCUCAUCCUCAUUCAGAGACUGACCUGAGCCAGAAAUACAAAGAAAGGUCAGGACUAGAAGCAAAACCCACCAACAAAAUGGUAGUUUGUUUAUUCAUGGACUCUACAAUCGUACACGAAACCAAUACACCAGUAGAGGCCGCUCUUAAUGGGAGGACUGUGUGAAUAGACUCCGCCCGGAGCAGUGAGCCCCACAAUUACUUGUGUGCAUCUUGUGCCAACAGGACCUGAAUAAGGGCUAUCUCAGGGUCAUGCUACUCACAACUCACACUGCGAAAUAGCGAUCUUCUCUUUACUCGACCGAUCCAGGACCAGCUCCACCAGCUCCUUCUCUAGACUAGAUGCUACUGUUUCGAGGAAGUAAUGAUGAAUGAUGGAAAAGUGCUUUGGUUGUGGGGGAUGUGUUUUUGUGAGCAUAUUUUUCAGAGGGGGAUGGAGCCAUAAAAUAAUACCUUUUAAAAGUAAGCAUUUUUUAUGCAGUUCCAUAGUAGCAACUUGUACUAUUUAUUUUUAACAACUAUCACUACUACAUGUAUAGUGCACAGAUAAUACACAUAUUUUGAUACAGGGACUUAAAUGUACCAGUACCACAUAUACUCUGUGGCUCUAUAACAAGUGAACACUUGUUUAAAAUUAAAAUAGGGAAGAAAAACAAAUUUUAUUUUCGUUCUUUCAUGUUCUAUUUAAAUAACAUACAUUAACUAGAGAAUGUCUGGUCACAGAUUAACAUGUGAUAUUUGAUGCCUCCAUGUAUCAUGACACAACCAAAUUUAGCUUCAAACUCGUAACUGUCACACUUCUUUUGAAAUUGAUACAGUCCUAAAAUUUGCACAUUGGAAUGAUUGCUGAAUUUUCAGGUCUCCUGCCUUCAAAUAUCUCUGCCCAGCCUGCGUUCACAUACCCCUGCCCAGCCUACAUAUACCAACUUUCCAUGUGCCUAUGAAAAGACUUGAUUAUUCGUACUGCCCCUUGACCCUCCAUAACACACUGCGGUCCCACCACCAUGUUCACCCUUCUUUUCUCAGCGCCUAUCAUUUACAGACGUGUCUUUACAGUAUCUUCAGAGUUUGGAGUUCAUUACCUUUCACAUUUGUGAAUCAACCUGAUUCCUGGUUACGAUUAAAGAGUGAUUUCUUAUCUGUUGGCAAUAGUGCUUAUUUUUGUAUUUUUUUUGGUUCUUUUCUGCCCCUUAUUGGCAAGCUGCGAAGCAAAUGCGAGCCUAAGUAAUACUGAUUUCUGUCUUCUGUCCGUCCGUCUGUUGGUCGGUGCGUUCGUCCAGCCAUCCUCAAAUGUUAAAGUACCUUGCAGAUCCAUAGGUGUUAAAAUGGGUGUCAGCUCGUAAGUCCGACACCUCAUAAGUCCGCAAAAAGGUUUUUAAAAAGUCCAUAAGUCCGACACCUCAUAGGUUCGAUGCCUCUUAGGUCCGACAAAUGCAUUUAAAAGUUCCAAUGGUUUUUUGGCCCAUAGCAUACAUCCAACGCCUGAAAUAAUCCGACGCCUCGAAUGUCCGGUGUUUGAUUUGACUGCGGAUGAGACGGCGCUGGGAACAAGACUGGUUCCCAGUGUCAAGUAUGGUAUACUAUUUAUGACACGCAGCCUCACAUCGCGCGGGCCCACACUUCUCCAUGUUUCACAGUCAAUCGUACUGACGCCUCAUAUUAAGUCUGACACCUCGUUAGUCAGACAUCGGAUUUAUGAGGGGUCGGACCUUUGAGCCCAUAAAUCCGACGCCUCACAAGUCCAAAAAUUCGGACUUUUCAGGCGUCGGACUUACGAUACGCACCCUCAAAAUGUGCCAUUGAGUGCUUGUUUGCUUCCUCUUGGAAUUCCAUCAGUAUUUAAAUAGUCUCAUAUGGCAUUAAUGUUUAGAAACUUAACUACCAUGUCAAAGUAGACAUGGUAGAUAUGGGAUGAUGGGGGGUAGAAUUGUAGAGGAUAGGAUAAUGGGGUUGGAUACAACUGCAGAACUGUACUUUAGAGGAAUUUCAAUUAUGCACCAUCCAUCAGACUCACAAAUGCACUGCUUAUAUAAUCAUCCAGGUCUAGUCUGAUUGUACUGAACCCACAUUCUUCAGGCAUUCCUCUCUCCUGUAAAGAACUGUGAAGCGUUUGUACCCAUAUCUCCCUUGCUGGUGGUCUUUGUUGAUUUACUUCUAAAUGACAGGCACCUUUCAAAACAUAGUCUGCACACAGCACUAACUAGGUUUUUUCCUAGAGUAUAAUGAAUUUUAUUGCUGUGGUCGAUUAAAUAUCUUGCACAUCUGUAUUGUAGUUGUAUGUCAACCAAUCUUGUAAAAGAUUUUGAUGAAGCUUGGUUAGUAUAAUUUAGUAACCAUAUUUGUAUAACUUGGAUGUCCCUAAACAUAGCUGUUAUUACAGGAAAGAAAUUCAAAUUCAUAACAAGCAGCGAGCCAUGACGCCUUUGCCCUUCUAGUUCUGUGCAUUAUUUACAGGUUUGGGGCCUACUAUUGUAUCGUGUUGUGUGUGGCUGUUAAACAGGGCUGACGGGCAUCCCUUUGUUCUGAGUGAUGUGCGUACGUUCAAACAAUAACGGCCCACCAUAUUCUGCUGUAUGGGUCUGGCUGUGGAGCGGGGACCUUAUGAGCUGCCCUGAUCCCUUGUGGUGUGGUUGUGUUGUCUGAGACUAACAGCCAUGCCAGGGAAAGACCCAGUGGAGUGGCUAGGCCAGGGUUGAGUGUGCAGUGCCGCAAACUACCCCUGACCUUUAUCUACAUUGAUUAGGUUGAGCAUGCAGUGCCACAACACUCCCCAUGAUCAGUGAGGACUGCUGUUUGGAUUGAUCGGGUUGAGGGUGCUGUGCUGCAUAACUACCCUUGAUUACUGACGACCACUCUCUAUACCCAGUGAUUGGGUUGAGCAUGCUGUGCUGCAACACUAUCCUUGUUCACUGACGACCACUCUCUCUACCCACUGAUCGGGUUUAGCAUGCUGUGCUGCAACACUAUCCUUGAUCACAGACGACCACUCUGCAUAUCACGGCUGGAUCACGGCUGACCAGAGCAUAAUGAAUUGUUCCUCUCUGUCUAUGCUGGAGGUGCUGACUGUUGCUACCUACCACAUCCCUGAAUGACUCUGCCUACCGAUGGCCCAGCAGGGAUUGCAGGGCGAUGGCCCGCCGUCUGCCCCAGGUCCCUCACCGGCUUCUGCUCACUGUGCUUCUUCCGCUCGGAAGUCGGGCCAGUCAACCCCCUUCUAAGUGGGCAACGGGAUCCAUGACGAAUUUGCCACGCUCCACUGCUUCUGUCACAGGCAAGUCUACAGAACAGCAUGGUGCACAGCCUCAUGUUGUGUUGGACGAUGUUAGCCCUUUUGGACUUCUACACCACCAGGGCUUUCAUCCGCUGCAUCCCAUCCGCAGCUCUAGUAUAACCCCUGGUCUGCGGCCAUAGGGCCACUGAUCCUGAUCCAAGGCGCUCCUCCUAGGAUAUGAUCGACCAUUCGAGGGAUUCUUGCCCAGCUGCAGCUUCAACCGUCCCAGCCUUCGGUUCCCCCGUUCCAGUGAAGACUAAGAAGUGCAAGGCCAAAACCUCUUCCUUGGCUUCUUCUUCCACGUCCAAGGCCAAGAAGAAGGGCUUCUCCACACCGGCAGCCCCCACCACAACGAAGAUGACAGGCAGGACCAUCCCCGUCUUCAGGCCGUUCCUUCAGUCGUCCGCUCCGAUCAGCAACUCGGUCCUCAGGCUCCCUUGGAGCUCCGCCCCUGGCCGCUUGUAAAACGUUCCAACCAUGACCUGCCAACCGCUGGUCCGCACCGCGCCCCCAGUCCCCACAGGAGUGCGGCGCCGGUGACUACUUUCCUUCACCUUUGGCAGCCACCAAUCCCAAACCUGUCCGAGGCUGUCUAGGCAACUUCAUCAGGUUCUGGCGGGAAAACACUGUGGACUGCUGGGUCCUUACCACCAUUGCCCACAGUUACAUUCUCGAAUUCACGAGCUCCCCACUAUCCGGGAUGGUUUUCUGUUCAACUCCCCCUCCAUGCCACAAGUCCAAGCGCCUGGCUCUGGAGGAGUAGAUUCCAGCAUUACCAUGCAAACAAGCCAUCAUGCCGGUACACCCAAGUCAGUUGUCCACCAGCUUCCUUUUGUUGUUCUUCCUGACACCCAAGAAAGAACCGGGAAAAUGGCGACCAAUAAUCAACCUGAAACUGCUCAACAAAUUCAUCACGUAGAAGCGGUUUUGGAUGGAGACUCUAAACAUAGACUUGCACCUCCUACCGGUCCCAUGCUGGGCCGCUUCCAUAGAUCUGCAGGAUGCAUAUCUCUAUAUUCCAAUACACAAACAGGACUGCAAGUUCCUUCGCUUCGAAUGUUGUGGUCAAAUCUACGAGUUUCUGGCUCUCCCGUUCGGUCUCUCCACUUCACCAAGGGUCUUCACCCGGGGCGCCAAGACACUUGCUGCUCAUCUGCGGCAACGCGACGUCCUCAUUUUUCAAUACCUCAAUGACUAGUUAAUCAUCAGCCAUUCCUCCAAUGAGGCCAAGUGUAGAAGUGUGACUCUCAAAAUACAUGGGACAGAGACUGUCAGUUUUAUACUCCACUCUCUCUUAAAUUAAUUUAUUCCUUAAUUAUUUACACAGGCAUAAAAAAACAAACAACUUGUCAAAUUAUUGCUUGCGUAAUUAAUUCUCAACUCCUUUUACUUGAUGUACCAUGUUGUUGCUCCAAAGGAACAAAAAACAAAACCAAAGGAAAGAAA
Molecule: long non-coding RNA, 5298 nt
Organism: Acanthaster planci (crown-of-thorns starfish)
Lineage: Eukaryota; Metazoa; Echinodermata; Asteroidea; Valvatida; Acanthasteridae
Source: RefSeq, a predicted model, not a curated record